RNAcentral lists this small RNA (27 nucleotides) under Bombyx mori (domestic silkworm). RNAcentral's name for it is "ovarian small RNA-9788". Lineage: Eukaryota; Metazoa; Arthropoda; Insecta; Lepidoptera; Bombycidae. The record is from RNAcentral.
UUUAGGUUGUGUUCACGGAGCUUAUGA